CCUACGGGUGGCAGCAGUGGGGAAUAUUGGACAAUGGGGGGAACCCUGAUCCAGCCAUGCCGCGUGUGUGAAGAAGGCCCUCGGGUUGUAAAGCACUUUCAGUGAGGAAGAACGCCUGGUGGUUAAUACCCAUCAGGAAAGACAUCACUCACAGAAGAAGCACCGGCUAACUCCGUGCCAGCAGCCGCGGUAAUACGGAGGGUGCGAGCGUUAAUCGGAAUUACUGGGCGUAAAGCGUGCGUAGGUGGCUUGAUAAGCCGGUUGUGAAAGCCCCGGGCUCAACCUGGGAACGGCAUCCGGAACUGUCAAGCUAGAGUGCAGGAGAGGAAGGUAGAAUUCCCGGUGUAGCGGUGAAAUGCGUAGAGAUCGGGAGGAAUACCAGUGGCGAAGGCGGCCUUCUGGACUGACACUGACACUGAGGUGCGAAAGCGUGGGUAGCAAACAGGAUUAGAUACCCUAGUAGUC
RNAcentral lists this ribosomal RNA (465 nucleotides) under Vreelandella stevensii. Its description in RNAcentral is "partial 16S ribosomal RNA". It matches the Rfam family "Bacterial small subunit ribosomal RNA", at positions 338 to 795 of the family's 1533-position model. The record is from RNAcentral. Lineage: Bacteria; Pseudomonadati; Pseudomonadota; Gammaproteobacteria; Oceanospirillales; Halomonadaceae.